RNAcentral lists this ribosomal RNA (1094 nucleotides) under Dugesia japonica. RNAcentral describes it as "bacterial LSU rRNA". It matches the Rfam family "Bacterial large subunit ribosomal RNA", at positions 1699 to 2786 of the family's 2925-position model. The record is from RNAcentral. Lineage: Eukaryota; Metazoa; Platyhelminthes; Tricladida; Dugesiidae.
CUCGGGAGAAGGAACUCGGCAAAUUGGUACCGUAACUUCGGGAUAAGGUACGCCCUUGUAGUUUGACCCCCCUGCGGGGGAAGGACGAAGGGGUUGCAAUAAACUGGUGGCUGCGACUGUUUAAUAAAAACACAGCACUCUGCAAACACGAAAGUGGACGUAUAGGGUGUGACGCCUGCCCGGUGCUGGAAGAUUAAAUGAUGGGGUGCAAGCUCUUGAUUGAAGUCCCAGUAAACGGCGGCCGUAACAAUAACGGUCCUAAGGUAGCGAAAUUCCUUGUCGGGUAAGUUCCGACCUGCACGAAUGGCGUAACGAUGGCCACACUGUCUCCUCCCGAGACUCAGCGAAGUUGAAGUGUUUGUGAUGAUGCAAUCUACCCGCGGCUAGACGGAAAGACCCCGUGAACCUUUACUGCAGCUUGACAUUGAACUUUGACCUUACUUGUGUAGGAUAGGUGGGAGGCUUUGAAGUUGGAACGCUAGUUCCAAUGGAGCCGUCCUUGAAAUACCACCCUGGUAAUGUUGAGGUUCUAACUCUGCCCCGUAAUCCGGGGCGAGGACCAUGUCUGGUGGGUAGUUUGACUGGGGCGGUCUCCUCCCAAAGUGUAACGGAGGAGUUCGAAGGUACGCUAGUUACGGUCGGACAUCGUGACGAUAGUGCAAUGGCAUAAGCGUGCUUAACUGCGAGACUGACAAGUCGAGCAGGUACGAAAGUAGGACAUAGUGAUCCGGUGGUUCUGUAUGGAAGGGCCAUCGCUCAACGGAUAAAAGGUACUCUGGGGAUAACAGGCUGAUUCCUCCCAAGAGUUCAUAUCGACGGGGGAGUUUGGCACCUCGAUGUCGGCUCAUCACAUCCUGGGGCUGUAGCCGGUCCCAAGGGUAUGGCUGUUCGCCAUUUAAAGUGGUACGUGAGCUGGGUUUAAAACGUCGUGAGACAGUUUGGUCCCUAUCUGCCGUGGGCGUUGGAAGUUUGAAGGGGGCUGCUCCUAGUACGAGAGGACCGGAGUGGGCGAACCUCUGGUGUAUCGGUUGUCACGCCAGUGGCAUUGCCGAGUAGCUAUGUUCGGAAGAGAUAACCGCUGAAAGCAUCUAAGC